UCGAGUUUAAGAUUAUCUGAAACGCAAGGAAGCAAACAGAAGUUAUUAGUGGAGUAAAUGAUAUACAUUUUAACUUGGAAAGGAAAAAGAGAAGUUAGUUGCAGUAAUUCAUAGCGUAAACGCUUACAGUAAAUCUGGAAGAAAGCUUAUCUCUGGGAAUACAAAUAUCCCAGGUUUUUUCAAUGAUCGUCUGUUAUAAUCGUUAUUCUAAGACAGUGGUCGUAAGGGGGUAAGAAGAAACGAAAAGGAAGAAGAAUCAAAAGAAAAAAAAACACGUGAGGACCUUCCUUUUUCUGGAGGAAGGACCACCGCAGGGGGGCGGUUACAAUGUUUGACAGCCACAAGAGACUCGGUGACUAAUUAGUGUAAAAACUAACCCUGCGACCUACUCUGGCAACCCGACACCUUCGUCCUUCCUCCCGCGCACACUUACUGGCAUAUGCUAGGGCAUGUGUCUCUUUGGAUACAUCGAAAGAAGAGCACAGAGAGGAAAGGAAAGAGGAGAUGAAGAGUCAUCCUCACAAUACGAAAAGCGUGUGUGUGGCCUGACACUGGCAACUAAGGAAUUUGGACACGCGAUUCUUCUUAUUCCCUUAUUCUAUUGUUUCAAUUCAUUAAGAGUUACUCUUUAACUCAAAACAGAACACAUAGGGGAUAGAAUGCCAAUUAUAAAACAGAAAUUGUCGAGAAUUUCACUGCGUUGGAUUCCAAUUUUUUACAAAGCUGGGUUGGCACGUCUGUCCAAGAGCAAUUAAAGGAACAAACUGUUUCAUGGCACAUGAAAGAAGGGUCUACGAGUCAAAAUUCUUUCCGCGCGUAAAGCAAUAAAUUCUCGAAUGGAACACGAGCCAAAACCAUCAAGAAGUUUCCCUCUCUUUCUCUCUCUCCUUCUACUUUAUAAGCGCACUGAUUCAAGAAGAUUCGUUUCAACAAAACAAUGGUAAAUCAGGACCAAUAGCAACCAAAUGGAAAUUAAUUCCAAGAGGACAAAUUUCGACAUUAUUUUUGAUGGUGUUAACGGGUGAUUCCAAAGAUUCGCGCACCGUCCUCCCACCGAUUAGUGACUGAAGAGGGAUCAAAUUCAUUAAUCGGCGCAACCGCAGGUGCAUUAGGACACAAUGAAGAGGGACGAGGGUUAAGAAAGACAGAACGUAAAGCUUCUUGAGAUUCGACACGCGAACUAGAGCGUAACAAAUAGCUUUUUUGUUUCCUUGUCUGAACAUGACUAUUCUAUAAACAUCAUUUUUCUCUUGGAAGUAACACCAUAGAACGACAAAGUAGUAUACGUAAAAUUUCUUAUUAAUAUAAAUUUGUAGUGAAAUUCUGAGAUUUGUCUUACCAUAGUAAAAAAUUAUAGUUAAAAUAAUAUUUUUUACCAAACUUUUUGAAACUCUCUUAGGCAGACAUUUGUAAUUUCCAACGCUAUGGAGGAUUCUUUCGUGCUGGUAAUUCUUUGGAAAGUCGUAAACACGUUCAAGGCUUCACUGUCUUUCCCAGGCUUCCAAGGCUUCGUUUAUAUUACAUAUGUUUACGUUACUUUACGCACGGUACAGUUUCUAUUGCUGUUCCCUACUCAUGGCGACAGGAGAGCGGGAUUAAUAAGGCGUGGACAGGAGAAGAUCUAAAGAGUACACAAAGUGGGAGUGUGGUGCUCGAAAUACGACGAAAGCUAAUGAUAGAGUUCCGAUACGAGCAAUAGCGAUCGUUCAACUGAUUUUCAAGUUUAUAUGUCAACGAACUAUGCGAGAUGCCGCCUUUCAAUAUCAUUAAAACUUACUACAAAAAAUAUAGAUAUGUUAUAAAAACACUUCUUUUGCCCGUUUCAAGUAUGCAUCUCGUAUAGAAAUAAUGUCAUUGACUCGUUUGUGAUGCAAUAAAGUUUCAUGUACUGGUAGGGCAUAAAUCUGAACAACGUGUUAAAACAAUUAUUACUACUAAUUACUCGCAAGACGAUAAUAGCUUCUAAUGCAUCCAUGCUUCAUUGUCGUACUUUAUAACAGGUUUAUAACAGGUGUAAAGCUAAGAUGAGUAUAAGACGUUUCAUUCAGGAAAGAAUGAAUAUUGCAUCUAUAAAGGUGUAAAGAGAUUGAAAAGAUCAGCCUGUGAUAAUAGUCGCGUAAAGAAACGGAUCGACCAUAGAUGUUUACCGUGCGUAGCUCAGGCCCUUAUAAUUUCUCGUGGAAGACGGGCUCGUAUCUCAGGUCAAUUAAGGCGAACUCGUCCGUAAACGACAAACACGUGGAACACGAUACAUACUGUCGCAAAGACUUCCCUGCAUCCCUCAUUCUACUUUAUUACUUGAUUGUUGGUGAGUUUCAACUUGUCAAAUGAAACCGGUUGCUUCAUCCAGUGUGCACCACUGGCAGGACUAUCAGGGUG
This 2379-nucleotide long non-coding RNA is filed under the name Megachile rotundata (alfalfa leafcutting bee). Its description in RNAcentral is "uncharacterized LOC105661991, transcript variant X1". The record is from RNAcentral. Lineage: Eukaryota; Metazoa; Arthropoda; Insecta; Hymenoptera; Megachilidae.